AUGGACAUGAGGGCCCCUGCUCAGCUACUCGGGCUCCUGGUGCUCUGGUUUCCAGGUGCCAGAUGUGAUAUUCAGAUGACCCAGUCUCCAUCCUCUUUGUCUGGAUCUCUUGGAGACAGAGUCACUAUCACUUGCCAGGCCAGUCAGGGCAUUAGCUAUAGUUUAAACUGGUUCCAGCAGAAACUAGGGAAAGCUCCUAAGCACCUGAUUUACCAUACAUCCAACUUGGAAGAUGGAGUGCCAUCUAGGUUUGCUGGAAGUGGGUAUGGAACAGAUUUUUCUCUCACCAUCAGCAGCCUGGAGCCUGAAGACAUUGCAACUUAUUACUGUCUACAGUAUGCUCAGUGUCCUCCCACAGUGAUACAAAUCAUAACAUAA
Non-coding RNA from Peromyscus californicus insignis, 378 nucleotides. NCBI's taxonomy places the organism in Eukaryota, Metazoa, Chordata, Mammalia, Rodentia, Cricetidae. The record is from the annotation of a RefSeq genome assembly.